Molecule: long non-coding RNA, 107 nt
Organism: Arabidopsis lyrata subsp. lyrata
Lineage: Eukaryota; Viridiplantae; Streptophyta; Magnoliopsida; Brassicales; Brassicaceae
Exons: 2
Source: RefSeq, a predicted model, not a curated record
AGUAUCACAGCCCAAGAAAUCUCCUUCUUGCGAUGGUGGGUGAAGUGGGAGAGCUAUCAGAGAUAUUCCAAUGGAAAGGAGAAGUGGCAAGAGGAUGUCCAGAUUGG